GACGAACGCUGGCGGCGUGCUUAACACAUGCAAGUCGAACGGAAAGGUCCUGCUUUUGUGGGGUGCUCGAUUGGCGAACGGGUGAGUAACACGUGAGUAACCUGCCCUUGACUUUGGGAUAACUUCAGGAAACUGGGGCUAAUAUCGGAUAGGAUCUCCUGCUGCAUGGUGGUGGUUGGUAAGAGUCGGCGGUUGGGGAUGGACUGGAGGCUUAUCAGCUUGUUGGUGAGGUAGGGGCUUACCAAGGCUUUGAAGGGUAGCCGGCAUGAGAGGGGUACCGGCGUCCUUGGGCCUGAGAUACGCCGCAGACUCCUAUCGUAGGCAGCAGUGGGGAGUAUUGCAGAAUAGGCGGAAGCGUGAGGCAGAAACGCCGCGUGCGUGAUGACCGCUUUCGGGUUGUAAACCGCUUUCGCCUGUGACGAAGCGUGAGUGACGGUAAUGGGUAAAGAAGCACCGGCUAACUACGUG
Molecule: ribosomal RNA, 468 nt
Filed under: uncultured bacterium
Lineage: Bacteria
Description: partial 16S ribosomal RNA
Rfam family: Bacterial small subunit ribosomal RNA
Source: RNAcentral